Molecule: transfer RNA, 90 nt
Filed under: Candidatus Zixiibacteriota bacterium
Lineage: Bacteria; Pseudomonadati; Candidatus Zixiibacteriota
Description: candidate division Zixibacteria bacterium tRNA-Ser
Rfam family: tRNA
About the family: Transfer RNA (tRNA) molecules are approximately 80 nucleotides in length. Their secondary structure includes four short double-helical elements and three loops (D, anti-codon, and T loops). Further hydrogen bonds mediate the characteristic L-shaped molecular structure. tRNAs have two regions of fundamental functional importance: the anti-codon, which is responsible for specific mRNA codon recognition, and the 3' end, to which the tRNAs corresponding amino acid is attached (by aminoacyl-tRNA synthetases). tRNAs cope with the degeneracy of the genetic code in two manners: having more than one tRNA (with a specific anti-codon) for a particular amino acid; and 'wobble' base-pairing, i.e. permitting non-standard base-pairing at the 3rd anti-codon position.
Source: RNAcentral
GGAGAGGUGUCCGAGCUGGCCGAAGGAGCACGCCUGGAAAGUGUGUAUAGGUAACCCCUAUCCUGGGUUCGAAUCCCAGCCUCUCCGCCA